This 800-nucleotide long non-coding RNA is filed under the name Chinchilla lanigera (long-tailed chinchilla). RNAcentral's name for it is "lncRNA (ENSCLAG00000025988.1)". Lineage: Eukaryota; Metazoa; Chordata; Mammalia; Rodentia; Chinchillidae. The record is from RNAcentral.
UAUGGCAAGAUUUUUAAUGAACAGCAUUUAACCUUAAAAAAAGAUUCAGCCUGUCCAACAUGUGAUUUGUUUAUCAAAAAAGUAAAAACGGGGUAACAUUCACAGCCAGGCUUGAUGUGGCUUAACAUGCCAGAAAAUAUAUCUAAGAAUCUACCCCUCAAGUGCAACUCCAUAAAGAAGUCAGAAAAUAAAACAAAAUGAACUCCCUGCCUCCAAAGGUCACUGCGUGGCUGAAAGGAGACAAAGCGUACUGCAGGGCCUGGCAUCUGAUAAACAACAAACAUUACAAAAACACAAAUUAAACAAACCAAGCCAGGGAAAUGCUAAGGUCCUCACGUCAGCUUCCAGCGUGGAUUUGUGUUGUUUUUCAUGUGACAUCGUCUUCCACACAUUCAUUUUGUCUCCAGCCAUCUCCAAUUUUUCCACAUGAAUCUUUACUUUUGCUUAUAUUUGCAUUGAAAAAAAUCAGGCGAAAACGUUCUUGCCCCUCAGAAGCGAGGGCGUCCACAUCAGUCGUGUGUGUCAGCGUUUGCCCCGCAGGCGCCGUCUCCAUGGCCACGGGGGCUCUGUUUUCCUUCGCAGGAGGCGGGAUCAGCACAGCAGAGCCAGGAACCAACUGUCGUCAGGAAGUUCACUGGAUCACAUCGGGCACUGCAGUUUGGAUGCUCAGUGUCUCUGGAGGCGCAUGUGUUAAAGGCUCAGCCCCAGUUUGGCACAACAGGAAGAAGUGUGAACAGAAAAGGCAGAAUCUGGGAGAGACCUUCAUCCCCUCCACUUCCUCUCUCCCUCCCCAGCAGUGA